This 256-nucleotide ribosomal RNA is filed under the name uncultured bacterium. RNAcentral's name for it is "partial 16S ribosomal RNA". It matches the Rfam family "Bacterial small subunit ribosomal RNA", at positions 524 to 774 of the family's 1533-position model. The record is from RNAcentral.
UACAGAGGGUGCGAGCGUUUAAUCGGAAUUAUCGUGGGCGUAAAGCGCGCGUAGGCGGCUUUGCAAGAUCGAUUGUGGAAAUCCCCAGGCUUAACCUGGGAACUGCAUUCGAGACUGCAUAGCUAGAGUAUGGGAGAGGGAAGUGGAAUUUCAGGUGUAGCGGUGAAAUGCGUAGAUAUCUGAAGGAACAUCAGUGGCGAAAGCGACUUCCUGGACCAAUACUGACGCUCAUGUGCGAAAGCGUGGGGAGCAAACA